Molecule: ribosomal RNA, 496 nt
Filed under: uncultured bacterium
Lineage: Bacteria
Description: bacterial SSU rRNA
Rfam family: Bacterial small subunit ribosomal RNA
Source: RNAcentral
UGACAUCCUCUGACAGCUGUAGAGAUACAGUUUCCCUUCGGGGCAGAGAGACAGGUGGUGCAUGGUUGUCGUCAGCUCGUGUCGUGAGAUGUUUGGUUAAGUCCAAUAACGAGCGCAACCCCUAUGGUCAGUUGCCAGCAUUUAGUUGGGCACUCUGGCAAGACUGCCGCGGACAACGCGGAGGAAGGAGGGGACGACGUCAAAUCAUCAUGCCCCUUAUGUCCUGGGCUACACACGUAAUACAAUGGCAACGACAGAGGGCAGCUAACCCGCGAGGGCAAGCAAAUCCCCAAACGUUGUCCCAGUUCGGACUGCAGGCUGCAACCCGCCUGCACGAAGUCGGAAUUGCUAGUAAUGGCAGGUCAGCAUACUGCCGUGAAUACGUUCCCGGGCCUUGUACACACCGCCCGUCACACCAUGAGAGUCUGCAAUACCCGAAGUCAGUAGCCUAACCGCAAGGAGGGCGCUGCCGAAGGUAGGGCCGAUAAUUGGGGUG